Molecule: ribosomal RNA, 253 nt
Filed under: uncultured bacterium
Lineage: Bacteria
Description: partial 16S ribosomal RNA
Rfam family: Bacterial small subunit ribosomal RNA
Source: RNAcentral
UACGGAGGGUGCAAGCGUUAUCCGGAUUCACUGGGUUUAAAGGGUGCGUAGGUGGGCAGGUAAGUCCGUGGUGAAAUCUCUGAGCUUAACUCAGAAACUGCCGUGGAUACUAUCUGUCUUGAAUAUUGUGGAGGUAAGCGGAAUAUGUCAUGUAGCGGUGAAAUGCUUAGAUAUGACAUAGAACACCAAUUGCGAAGGCAGCUUACUACACAGUAAUUGACGCUGAGGCACGAAAGCGUGGGGAUCAAACAGG